Molecule: ribosomal RNA, 254 nt
Filed under: uncultured bacterium
Lineage: Bacteria
Description: partial 16S ribosomal RNA
Rfam family: Bacterial small subunit ribosomal RNA
Source: RNAcentral
UACGGGGGAUGCAAGCGUUAUCCGGAAUUAUUGGGCGUAAAGCGUUUGUAGGCGGGCGAGUGUGUUUAAUGUUAAAUCUUAAAGCUCAACUUUGAAAUUGCGUUAAAAACUGCUUGUCUUGAGUAUGGUAGGGGUAAAGGGAAUUCCCAGUGUAGCGGUGAAAUGCGUAGAUAUUGGGAAGAACACUAAACAGCGAAGGCACUUUACUAGGCUAAUACUGACGCUGAGAAACGAAAGGUAAGGUAGCGAAACGG